UCGGUCGUCCUCUUGGUGAUUCUGAAUAACUUUGGGCUGAUCGCACGGCUUCACGCCGGCGACGUAUCUUUCUAAGGUGUGCCCUAUCAACUGUCGACUGUGGUAUAGACGUCCACAGUGGUUUUGACGGGUAACGGGGAAUCAGGGUUCGAUUCCGGAGAGGGAGCCUGAGAGACGGCUACCACUUCUAAGGAAGGCAGCAGGCACGCAAAUUACCCACUGGUCGAAGACCGAGGUAGUGACGAAAAAUAACGAUACCGGACUCAUCCGAGGCCCGGUAAUCGGAAUGAGUACACUUUAAAUCCUUUAACGAGGAACAAUUGGAGGGCAAGUCUGGUGCCAGCAGCCGCGGUAAUUCCAGCUCCAAUAGCGUAUGUUAAAGUUGUUGCGGUUAAAAAGCUCGUAGUUGGAUCUCGGCGGGUAGGGGGCGGUUCGUUAUUUGACGCUACUGCCCCAUUUAUCCGUGUUUUUGACGGAGGUUGCAGGGUGCUCUUUAUCGAGUGUCCUGUGAUGCCGUCAGGUUUACUUUGAAAAAAUUAGAGUGCUCAAAGCAGGCUUUAUACGCUUGGAUAUUCGUGCAUGGAAUAAUGGAAUAGGACGUCGUUUCUAUUUUGUUGGUUUUCGGAAAUCGACGUAAUGAUUAAUAGGGACAGUCGGGGGCAUUAGUAUUCAGACGACAGAGGUGAAAUUCUUGGACCGUCUGAAGACUAACUACUGCGAAAGCAUUUGCCAAGAAUGUUUUCAUUAAUCAAGAACGAAAGUUAGAGGUUCGAAGGCGAUCAGAUACCGCCCUAGUUCUAACCAUAAACGAUGCCAGCUAGCGAUCCGCAGACGUUUUUAUUGUAGGCUCUGCGGGAAGCUUCCGGGAAACCAAAGCUUGUGGGUUCCGGGGGAAGUAUGGUUGCAAAGCUGAAACUUAAAGGAAUUGACGGAAGGGCACCACCAGGAGUGGAGCCUGCGGCUUAAUUUGACUCAACACGGGAAAUCUCACCAGGCCCGGACACUGGAAGGAUUGACAGAUUGAGAGCUCUUUCUCGAUUCGGUGGGUGGUGGUGCAUGGCCGUUCUUAGUUGG
This 1074-nucleotide ribosomal RNA is filed under the name Cyclopina sp. 730DZMB. RNAcentral describes it as "SSU rRNA". It matches the Rfam family "Eukaryotic small subunit ribosomal RNA", at positions 233 to 1301 of the family's 1831-position model. Lineage: Eukaryota; Metazoa; Arthropoda; Copepoda; Cyclopoida; Cyclopinidae. The record is from RNAcentral.